GACGAACGCUGGCGGCGUGCUUAACACAUGCAAGUCGAACGGAAAGGCCCUGCCUUUGUGGGGUGCUCGAGUGGCGAACGGGUGAGUAACACGUGAGUAACCUGCCCCUGACUUUGGGAUAACUUCAGGAAACUGGGGCUAAUACCGGAUAGGAGCUCCUGCUGCAUGGUGGGGGUUGGAAAGUUUCGGCGGUUGGGGAUGGACUCGCGGCUUAUCAGCUUGUUGGUGGGGUAGUGGCUUACCAAGGCUUUGACGGGUAGCCGGCCUGAGAGGGUGACCGGCCACAUUGGGACUGAGAUACGGCCCAGACUCCUACGGGAGGCAGCAGUGGGGAAUAUUGCACAAUGGGCGGAAGCCUGAUGCAGCAACGCCGCGUGCGGGAUGACGGCCUUCGGGUUGUAAACCGCUUUCGCCUGUGACGAAGCGUGAGUGACGGUAAUGGGUAAAGAAGCACCGGCUAACUACGUG
This 468-nucleotide ribosomal RNA is filed under the name uncultured bacterium. Its description in RNAcentral is "partial 16S ribosomal RNA". It matches the Rfam family "Bacterial small subunit ribosomal RNA", at positions 28 to 507 of the family's 1533-position model. The record is from RNAcentral.